UACGUAGGGCGCAAGCGUUGUCCGGAAUUAUUGGGCGUAAAGAGCUCGUAGGCGGUUUGUCGCGUCUGCUGUGAAAUCCUCAGGCUCAACUUGGGGCGUGCAGUGGGUACGGGCAGACUAGAGUGCGGUAGGGGAGACUGGAAUUCCUGGUGUAGCGGUGGAAUGCGCAGAUAUCAGGAGGAACACCGAUGGCGAAGGCAGGUCUCUGGGCUGACACUGACGCUCAUGCACGAAAGCGUGGGGAGCAAACAGG
RNAcentral lists this ribosomal RNA (253 nucleotides) under uncultured bacterium. RNAcentral describes it as "partial 16S ribosomal RNA". It matches the Rfam family "Bacterial small subunit ribosomal RNA", at positions 524 to 776 of the family's 1533-position model. The record is from RNAcentral.